CCUACGGGAGGCAGCAGUGGGGAAUAUUGCACAAUGGGGGAAACCCUGAUGCAGCGACGCCGCGUGAGUGAAGACGUAUUUCGGUAUGUAAAGCUCUAUCAGCAGGGAAGAAAUAAAGUCCUUCGGACUUUGGACGGUACCUGACUAAGAAGCCCCGGCUAACUACGUGCCAGCAGCCGCGGUAAUACGUAGGGGGCAAGCGUUAUCCGGAUUUACUGGGUGUAAAGGGAGCGUAGACGGCAGCGCAAGGCUGGAGUGAAAUCCCAUGGCUUAACCAUGGAACUGCUUUGGAAACUGUGCAGCUGGAGUGCAGGAGAGGUAAGCGGAAUUCCUAGUGUAGCGGUGAAAUGCGUAGAUAUUAUGAGGAACACCAGUGGCGAAGGCGGCUUACUGGACUGUAACUGACGUUGAGGCUCGAAAGCGUGGGGAGCAAACAGGAUUAGAUACCCUUGUAGUC
RNAcentral lists this ribosomal RNA (457 nucleotides) under uncultured bacterium. Its description in RNAcentral is "partial 16S ribosomal RNA". It matches the Rfam family "Bacterial small subunit ribosomal RNA", at positions 338 to 795 of the family's 1533-position model. The record is from RNAcentral.